UCACCCCUCAGUAGAUAUGACUCUCACUCCCUCACAGUAAGUAAUUCCAAGUCUGGAGAGAGGCUGCAGCUGUUUGGAUGGAUAAAGACAACAUCAGGUCAUUGACUCUUGCUGAUGUUUCAUGAGUAAGAAUCAGGUGGUUCUGAGAAGGUAUCCCUGCUCUGUGCUUGGUUUCCCUCUGCAGGAUGGACAACACUGGACCCACAGGUAAUGGAAGAACAAGAUGGAGGCAGCAGGAAGUCCCGGUCACCUCUUCCAGAACAGGAAGCUGCUUGAGAAUCCUGGGCAGCCUGCCAUGCCACAGACUGAAGGUUAAAUCAUUCUGAACACGGCUUCCAGAACCUCUAUUCCAACAACCUAAAGGAAACGGAGAUUCUAGGAUCAGCUGACAUCAAAAGGUGCUGUUGAUUUCAAAAUGGAACCCUGGGGAGGCAGGGCUGGGGAUGCCGACAGUCUCCGCCCCGCCUGAGCCAGCUCUGUGUUACAGAGCAUCACAGCUUCAGCAUCAUGGAGGUGACAGGAAGGUCCCCUGGACAGAAUAAAUACUACAUGGUGGAACCAACUCACAACCAGCUUGUCCAGAGUAAAGCUGUCCCUGUAGCGCAUCAGAGGACCUGGAGACUCCACUUAAAGCUGUGGGCUCUGAUUCCUGCCGCACACAUUUGUCUGCUG
This 672-nucleotide long non-coding RNA is filed under the name Meriones unguiculatus (Mongolian gerbil). RNAcentral describes it as "lncRNA (ENSMUGG00000011410.1)". The record is from RNAcentral. Lineage: Eukaryota; Metazoa; Chordata; Mammalia; Rodentia; Muridae.